UGGAAAGCCCCUGGAGCACAGGGAUGGGAUCAGAAGGCAGAGGUAAGGGAAGGGCACUUGGUGGGCUUUAUUGUGUCCCAGGACUGCAUCCUAUUUCCUACACUAAAGGAACACAUCGUGUUGGGUUUUCUCCAACAAGCAGGAUAUUGUUUAAGUCCUUUUUGAACAAAGUAUUAUCAACUUUAUUUGGGGUUUUUUGUUCUGCAUUUAAUUGGGAGCAGCAGCAAAGUUCAGAGUGCCAUAGGCAGAUGUUACAGGGACACGAAAGUACAAGAUAAGGUGCUUCCUACCACAGGAAGGCUAUUUUAAUAGUUGGUUUUUAGGCUGAUAUUUAUGAAGGAAGGAAAGUCAAAGGCAACAAUAAUUAAUGUCAUCAUUAUGGUGCUGAUUUGCAAAGAAACAUAGUAGGCUUAGGAACUCAGCCAUUUCAGCUUUUUAGAAGACUUCAACACCAGAUCAGGCAGCAACUGAAAGACAAUAAGCAUCAAAAUCUAGGUGUUACUCUAUUACAUUUAUAUAAGUAUAUAGAUUUCAGAUGGAAAAGAGCAUUAACAAAAGGGAAAGUAAAUUUACAGGUCUCACCAUCUUCCCUCAUUAAUGGUUCUCAGCCAAACAUGCUGAGCUUUGUGACUUUUUGUUUAUCAUUAAAACACAAUUUUUGUUAUUUGCUGAAUGGUUAAAAUUUAUUUUCCUGAUAAUUUGGGGAGGUAGCUGUUUAUCAUAUGGAAUGAUGAACAGAAGCUGCAAAAGUAUUUUCAAAUGGGUUUGCUUGCAGCCCUAUAGAGCAGAGCUCUAUGAGUUUAUUUGCAUCGUCAGGAGAAUCUAAACUAAUUUAAUUCAUGGUAGGGAGCAUAUGUUAAUGACUUCUCUGGGUGGAGGAAGGUAGUGCACACCUCUCUUCUAACUCAGUGGUCCUGAUCUACAAGCAGGCCAAUAGAUCAAAACCACAUGGUAUCUCAUGGGCUGGAUGCAACUGGGUUCUCAACAUCUGAAAGGGAUGGCGAAAUAAAUUACACAGAUCCCUGUGCAAGUCUGAUCAAGCUCUCAAAGAACAGCCUUGCCAAAGAACUGCCUGCCUACCUAUGUCCUCAUUCCACGAUCCAGGUGACUUUUGUUCCACGGAGCCACACCUCAGCCUCUCACCUCACCGGGAGAGAAAACCUCCCAGACGUCUCAGUUUUGCAACCGAGCAGUUGUGCCCUUGUCGUGCUUCCAGCAUUUCCUCACAGCCCGCACUCAGAAACGAGGGCUGCGAGUCCCAGCCUCAGCAGGAACGUCUCCCCCAUCAUUAAAUAAUUGAGCUGCUCCUGCAAUCUGGAGCCCGGCAGCCCGAGACGCUACCUCAUAGCUGCUGGGUCGCUGGCACAGGUUUGACAAAACCCUUCAGGGAUGGCUACUGCAGGGAGGCUCUUUCCUGGCAGGUCCCAGCUUGGUUUGUUGGGUCAGUGGGGAGACAGACAGGGCUCGCCACGCCAGGCCCGUGCCAAGCCACGCUGGCCAAAAUUGGCUGAGCCCUGGCUGUACCUUCCAGAAGUACUGAAGAAGGGGUUUUGGUCCUUGGUUGAGGAAAGGAAGGAAAUUUAGGUAUCAGAGUCCUUGGGAGAUGCUGUUUUGCUGCCCUCUAGGCAAAGAUUAAAGCUUGAAAUGUGGAAACUACAGAAAAUGCUGUCCUGAGCACACCAAAGCAAAGCAAAGGGUUGGGAAGGUGGAAAGGCUUUUCGUGGGACUUCAUUAAGGUGUGAGUAUGAAAUCUGUAAAAAGAUCUCUGGCCUCAGAUAAGGGAGAUCCAGUGGUGUACAACAAAGAAUUAUCAGUAAAGGCAUCAUAAUUACAAAGUUCUUUUAUAUUAAAAUGAUGUCAUGUAAUAGGUUGAAGAACAAGAAAUAAAUAAGCUGUGCAGAUCUCCUUUAUCUAAAUA
Molecule: long non-coding RNA, 1918 nt
Filed under: Junco hyemalis (dark-eyed junco)
Lineage: Eukaryota; Metazoa; Chordata; Aves; Passeriformes; Passerellidae
Description: lncRNA (ENSJHYG00000003481.1)
Source: RNAcentral